Molecule: long non-coding RNA, 3585 nt
Organism: Uloborus diversus
Lineage: Eukaryota; Metazoa; Arthropoda; Arachnida; Araneae; Uloboridae
Exons: 2
Source: RefSeq, a predicted model, not a curated record
CACCAACCAGCAUGUUUAUUUUGUGCACAGGAGGAAAUUUGCGCUGAGAUAAGUAUUCUUUUAAACCUGUUUUUGAAAUUUAACUUAAUAUUGUAAUACUUGUUUGUGUUUGUAAUUGUUUUUUAUGCAAACUCAAGUGUCUUAUCAAACUAUUUUACGUUGUAAGCAAAGCAUUGUAGCAAAAAUGUUUGUUUCCUUGAGUUCGGACAAUCUAACGAGUUGUUUUGUUUCAUCUUGUAGUACGGCGCUAUUUACUGAAAAGUGUCACUAUUUUACUGAAAAGUGUCGAUGCUAUUUUUUUUUAAAUCAUAUUUUGGAUCAGAAAGUUAUUGUAAUCCAUAACGUAGUUAUGUAAGCUGCCUUUACUUAAUAUAGGCAUUAGAGUCCUAUAUUGGAUAUUCAAUCACGUUGCUAGAAAUUUCUUCUUUAGUUUUUCGUUUUUAAAUUUAUUAAAAAUCUUGAUUUUAUUUUAUGAUUAAAACAAAUUAAAGCAAGAUUAAGAUGCAUCAGUUCAUCAGCAGCAUCAGUACAACUUUAUAACAAGUAUAAGGUUAGACUUUUAAAAGUUUUAGAUUAGCUUUAGUUAGAAACUUCUAUAUAUGUUUACUUCAUGUAUAAUAAUUUACCAGUAAUUUUGAAAUUUAACUUCUGAACAUAUUUUUGCUUCGUCGUAGACCAAAAAUCAACAGCUUAAAAUUGAAAUUUAUCCAGGACAGAAUUAACUUUUGUCAAGACGCUUCUUAGUUAGGAUUCACUGAAUAGUUGGUUAAUCUUUCAAUAUACUGCAUAUUUGGCAAACAAACAGAAUAUUUGGUUUGAUUGAAUACUUUAAUAAUUCAGUGACGCAAUGCGUAGCAAAUUUAUUUUCAACACUUAGUAAACAUAUUUUUUCAUAUAAUGAAUGAAAGUUUUAACGUAGUUAAAAAUUAGUUUGAGUUGUUGCCGUCUAAUACUGUCAAACCUGGUUUAUAAGAAAGCACUUAAAAUUAAUUUCUGCUUGGACAAACUGCAUUUGAGAUCCCUAAUCCCGGUCCUACUGUUGAUGAUUUUCCAAAUAAGAUGAUCUGCUUUAAAGAAUAUGGUUUUAAAGGUCCCUCUGAUAUUGUUUUAACGAGUUUCAAAUGUGCUAUCAUAUUCAAAAGAAUUUUAACGUAAGAGAAAACACUCAGGUGGUAAUUUCAAAUUUUAUUAUUUUCAAUUUUUCGUAAUUUUUAUGACAUGUCUAUAUCUGAGAGUCAGAACAAGGUAACUCACACUAUCGUGAGGAGACAGCUAAAAUGGUUGUCAAAGAUGGAAUGCACCUGGUAAGUAAUUACAAAGUUUUUUUUAGAAUUAUAUUCACAUGACUCGAUACAGAAUAAGAUUCUACAUGACAAUACACUAAUAAACUGAAAAUCACAGUUUUUGGACUUAUGUCAGUAUUAUAGCUCUGAGCUACAGAUAUUUUAAUUAAUCUUACUUUUUCAAAUUCAAUAGGGAAGUUUUCGAUUUUUCAAUUUUAUUUUUAUAUGAUAGAGUAACAUGUAUGAACAUCAUAGGUGAAAAAAAUUUUGCGAUACGAAAAGUAGUUUUUUUAAAUUAAUUUUUAAAGUUCAAGCGCCUGUGACGUCAGAUGGCAUAGGAAGUGACGUCCGAUAGGAGAGAAACGCUAGCGAACCGGUUCCCAUGUCAUGGGAGAAACCGAAGAACGUGCAUUCGACUUCGAAGAUGAAACGUAAAAGGCUUAUCUCCUCGCGUUUCUGGAACAUUAAACCUCUCAUCCUCUCGGAAAUAUUCGAAUAUCACCAUUGAUAUUAUUUGAGGAAGAUUAUUUAGUUUGUUCUUUAACGAAUCCGGCCUCCAUAGUGUGUUCAAAAGGAUUAUUGAAUUUCUAAAAAAUAAAAAUAUCAGCGCGCUAAAAAUGUCCCUAGCGAAAACAAGGGAUCUUCGGAGGAAGGCUGCCCAUUAGUGCCCUGUGACAUAAGCUCGUGACAUUUCAGAAGAGCGCACUUUUGCGCGUGGAUUUUUAAAAAUUCAUUAAAAAUCAACCACGGUGUUUUAAAAUUCGGCGAUGGUGAAUUUUUUAGUUUUGAGGGUCAAUUAACAAUAUGCAAUAGCCAAAAUAUGAACAUUUAAUAGGUUGCAACUUCCCUAUUAACUAUGAAACAGUAAGCAGAAAAGAAAAAAAAACUUGGAUAAUAUGGAAUAUACAUAAUUAUGUACAGUCGGCUAGCAACUUUGUUUUGUAUUUGUAUGUAAGGUAAUUGCAAGAUCCUUUAUUUAUAAUGUAACAUACUACCAUGAUUAUAUUAGCUACAUCAAAUAUUAUUCAAAAAGAAUUGCAGAUAAAUAUAAACCAUUAGUCCUUUACUAGAACAGUUUUUUUUUUAAAUUUAUAAUUGCACUAAAUAUAGAUGCAUUUAGGAUGUUAAAUGAAAAUUAAUUUUUAUUUCAUAAAAAAGGAAAAAUAGAUUAACCUUCCUUACAUUAAAUUGGUAUAAAAUACAAAUGUUGAAAUCACAAAAUAAAUAAUAUUAGAUAUUGGGUAAAAUAUGUUAUUCAGUGCACCUAUGCUUUUUAGUACGGACAAACUGAGAUUUGGCACUCGCACAUUAUAGUGAAUCAUAAGGAAAGGGGUAAGGAAAAUAAAAAUUUGUAUUGUUGAUAUUUAGAUAUGAAAAAUGCAGUAACCAUUUAAAAUAUGUAAGUACUGUACACAAGUAAAAUACUGUAUUAAAAUUGAAAAUUUAGUUCUUUCAGUCAACCAGUUUUCUGCCAAAAUGGAAUGUUUCAAUGACUUAAUGGUUUGAGUUUUAUAAUUUACGAAACAUGUUAAGAUUUUUUUUUCUUAGUAACUACUUAAUUUAAAGAUUAAUCAUUUUGACUUUUAAAGGGUAGCUAUUUCCUAAAUUUUCCUUAGCAAUUCUUGACAGUUUUCGUGCAUAAUUUUUUAAAAAGACUAGCUAGGCUUUGUGUUGAAUUUUAAAAAUAAUGAAUAUUCUAAAAUAACACACAAGUUGUUAAAAAAUAUAUUUAGUAAGAUCUUUUAAUUUAGGAAAUAAAACUUUCAAGAAAAUAUAAUUACACGGAAUUAGCUCUACUCAAGCUAUACAUUGUAUUAUUUAUCUUUUAAAUAGUAAUGAACAAAGUUUUAAUGAACAAAAUCAUCGGGUUACUGCAUACACGUGUUUUGGCGUUACAGGAACUCUUUUUCAAUGUAAAGUGGUGAGCUUUUGUAUGUAAAGACCCAAAACACGGGUAUGCAGUUGUCUGCUAUUUUUGUGCAUUAAAACGUUGUUCAUUACUAUUUACUUCCCUGCACAAAGGUAUUUAUUUCUUAUUUAUCUUUUAGUUUAAAGCAACUUUUUUUUGCAGCCUUUAAGAACAAAAUAAGAUGCCUUCUUUGCACUAAGAUUUUCAAGUAGGAGAGUGGAAUUGCAAGUCCUUUCUCAUCACAGAGCAAAAUGAGAAAAUAUCUACUGAAAAGAGGGAAGGACUCCUCUGGAAUUGAGACCGAGAUGAAGAGAAGGAACAAAUAUUUAUCCGAUAAAAUUCAGAAUCUGCGUUACAAUAAAGUUUAAUUGAAUAAAUUUGAUUUUAAGUGUU